AAUAUUGGACAAUGGGGGGAACCCUGAUCCCGCCGUGCCGCGGGUGUGAAGAAGGUCUUCGGAUUGUAAAGCACUUUACGUUGGGAGGAAGAGAUGUCGGCUACUACCUUGCAAUUUUGACGUUACCAACAGAAUAAACACCGGGUAACUUCGUUCCCGCCACCGCGGUAAUACGUAGGGUGCAAGCGUUAAUCGGAAUUACUGGGCGGAAAGCGCGCGUAGGUGGUGCGGUAAGUUGGAUGUGAAAGCCCCGGGCUCAACCUCGGAAUUGCUUUGAAAACUGACGAACUAGAGUAUCGGAGAGGGUAGUGGAAUUUCCUGUGUAGCGGUGAAAUGCGUAGAUAUAGGAAGGAACACCAGUGGCGAAGGCGACUAACUGGACGGAUACUGACGCUGAGGUGCGAAAGCGUGGGGAGCAAACAGG
This 424-nucleotide ribosomal RNA is filed under the name uncultured bacterium. RNAcentral's name for it is "partial 16S ribosomal RNA". It matches the Rfam family "Bacterial small subunit ribosomal RNA", at positions 360 to 776 of the family's 1533-position model. The record is from RNAcentral.